CUUUACAGGAUGAUGCACAACCCACUGAGCCACGCCAUUCAGGGUCCACCACCACCACCUUUUAUAGAUGUAUUUUCUUGGGGGGAGGGGUGGCACAUAGCAGGGACUAUGCAUCAUUAUUUGGUCAUAGCUUGGUCACUCCUAGUAGCCUCCCCUUAAAGCUCAUUGCUCACCUCUGCCAUUUGGGUGGCUACUACUGAAGAAUAUUUGCCGUUGUAUAACAGCAUAAAGAAAACAAGUAAAUUCUGUAUGGCCUUAACUUCAUCAGUCAGGUAGAAAUUGGAACAAGUUUUCCAAGUUGUAUUGAUGCCUUAGAGUGUCUGGUUUUGUACUUUCUUGAACAAUAGAAGUGCGGAGUUUUAAAACUGUGUGUGUUCCUGGUUGUGCACCUAAGCAACUGUCCUCUGCUCUUAGGUAGCAAGAAGAGUUGAGAUUGACUUUGUGGAGUGAAAACUCCAAUCCCAACGUGGAAGCGUGAGAGGGUGGAGGAAACACGGCUGGCUCUCCCGUUUAGCAGAGUGUUAGCUGGAAUAGGCUGCCCCUGGUUUCACAGCUCAGGCCAGGUCUCCGAUGUUUUCCCACCUCGGGGUGUGAGAGAGGUUUUUGGUUUUAAUCCCUGGAUUUAUUGCACAUCAGUUCGGUGCUGCUAUUGGAUCACAAAUACCUGUUCGUUUGGAGGCCAGAUUCUACUUGGAGAAUCCUGUAAUAAUUCAUUACUUUGCAAACAGGUUUUAGGCCCUAGGCAAUAAACACCUAUUGAUUAAAAAUAUUGUUAAAUGAUAGAAACUUCAAAAAGGAAAAUACAGUUGUAUGUCGCUUAACGAUGGAUACAUUCUGAGAACUGCAUCAUUCGGUGAUUUCCUUGUUAUGGGAACACCGAAGAGUGCACUCACACAAACCUAAACGGUAGAAGCUACUACACACCUAGCCCAUAAAGUAUAGCCUGCCGCUCCUGGGCUGCCGACCGGUACAGCAUGUUACUGUGCUGAAUACAGUGGGCCAUUGCAGUACCGUGGUAAGAAUGUGUGUAUCUAAACAUAGAAAAUAGACAGCAAAAAUACAGUAUAAAAGAUAAAUAGUACACCUGUAUAGGGCACUUACCAUGAAUGGGGCUUGCAGGACUCGAAAAGUUGCCCCAAGUGAGUCAGUGGGUGAGUGGAAAGGGAAUGAAGGCCUGGCCAUCACUGUAAUGCAUCGUGCUAGGAUUUUUAUGAACUGCGUCACUAGGUGAUCAGCAUCUUCAGCUCCAAUACAGUCUUUCAGGACCAUCCUCAUAUAUGCAGUUUGUUGUUGACUGAAACUUCACGAGAAGGUACAUACCUGUCAUUUUUUGUUAAUUUUAUUUACAUUGUAGUAGAUUUCCUUGAGUUUAGCUUUGGUUCUUGUUUUAAAGGUGUAUAUUAGGACAUUAAAAAUAAAUGCUUUGAAUUUAACCAAGGCAGGGGCUGUCACAUCUUAGGUUCCCGGUUGCCUAGGAUUCCAUCUGUGGAAGAUGGACUUAGUAAGUCUGUAGUCAAAGGUGGCUGGGGACAUGGAUGUACUACAGUUGUAUUUUCAGCUCUGUUAGUGCUCUUGCAUUUCUAAGCCAGAAAAGGGAGUGAAAAAAUCAAAACAUGAAAGGUAAAUUCAAGAGAUAAAGCUAAAAAUAGGAUUAGCAACUAGUAUACUAUAGACUGCAAACCAUUAUCACACUUGAAUAGAAUAUUGCUUGGAACCUUCUUAUAUUUCAGUUGGAACCUAGACUAAUAUUUCAGGAAGCUGUGUUGUUAAUAUUAUUAUGGAGAGGAUUAAAUGGAAGAGGAAAUUAAACCAAUAAAAGUAGUGCUCAAGCAGUUGUAUUAACAUUGAAGAAAAUUGUUGGUGGAGAGGAAUUUCUAAAUGAGUUAAGGACAUAAAGUUUCCAAUGGGGAAAUCAUUUGAAGCAUAAGUGUUAUAGGGACUUUAAGAAAAAACCCCAAAACACUUGAUUUUAAAAUAAAAAUCUCCAGUGCUUUAAUACGGGAGGAACAAAUCUUGAGAUUUGUGGAAGCAGAUUGAAGUUUAUAUUUUGUUAGGUUGACUAGGAAAAAUACAAGAGGAUAGGACCAUUGAUUUCUUCCUUAAUUUGAUUUUUUCAGUCCUGAGAAUUUUGAGUUUUUGAAGAUCACAAGACGGUCUGGGUGACACGAGCCCCUCCUCCCUCCUUGGCAGCCCAGUGAAGGGCUUCCAGGGCACUGUGUGCGCAGGGUCCACCUCCCGUCCGUCCCGCCGGCUGUUCCUUUUUGGCUUACUGUCUGUCCCAGAGAAGUUUACUUGGCCCCUUUUCUUUUUUCUCCACUCACUCCCUCAGUGAUCCUGUGUUAAAUAGCUUUACCUAACAAUGGUACCCUGACAAGGCCCCUGUUAAGGCUCCAGCCCAGACCUCUUCCUCUUAGCUCCGUGUUUGUGAAUCCAACUUGAUUACCAACUUGGAUGUCCAAAAGGUAUUCAGACUUCAUGUGUUCAAUUGCACUCUUUUAAAAAAUUACUAUUAAUUUUAGAAAUAGGAAGGGGGAGAAUUCAUUGCUCCACAUCUUUGUGCAUUUAUUGGUUGCUUCCCCUAUGUUCCAUGACCUGACAUCAACCCACACCCACCUACAACCUUGGCAUAUUGGGAUGAUACUCUAACCAACAGAGCUACCUGGCCAGGGCUUAAUGGCACGCUUGAUUUGCUCCUCCAGAUCGACUCCUUGUGCUCUUCCCUGGCUUGAGAAAUUCCUUGGCUAGAAAUCUUCAACUUUUCUCUCAUGCUUUGUAUCUGAUACUCCAGAAAACGUUCCGUUAGGCUCUCCCUUCAGAAUGACCCCAGAGAGUUCUGCUUCUUCCAUUUCCCCUCCCCUGUUGUGCUAAUGCAAGUGUGACUGUUGCCCUUUCGCCUCCGCAACUCGCGCUGAAGAUCGAUGGUAAC
Molecule: long non-coding RNA, 2926 nt
Organism: Phyllostomus discolor (pale spear-nosed bat)
Lineage: Eukaryota; Metazoa; Chordata; Mammalia; Chiroptera; Phyllostomidae
Exons: 2
Source: RefSeq, a predicted model, not a curated record